GCAGAGCCAGCUUCAGUUAGCUCCAGUUUCAGCAUAGCAGCUUGCUGAAGGCUAUGAAAGGGUCGUGUUUUUUCCUGUCUGCCGUAUCCAUGUCAGGGGCCUGGAGAGCCAACUGACUCUCCUGUCAGACAUGGGAAGAAUUCCUUAUGUCCCGGAGCUUCCUGUUUUUGUUUUUGUUUUUUUUUCCUAUUUUAUCUCCCAUUGGCAAAAAUGUGCUGGUCACAGGCUCAGAGCUACGCUUCGGGACCGGAAGAGAUCAUCUCUAGAUGGCUGCAACUUCACAAGGUGUCAAGAAUCAAAGAGAACAAAUUUAACUGGUCACAAUGAGGAAGCUGUGGGAGACAGUCCUAAUCUUUUUUCAAUAUUACCAUCAAGAGCAAGGAAAAGAAAAAUGAGGGACAAGUGGCACAGACAUGGUCUCUUAAACAUAUCCCUCAUCUUUUGGCAACUAAGGGUGGAGUUAAAGGUUUCCCAGCAGCUCUUGGAAAUGCUAUAGAGAACAGAAUGAUUACAUGAAUCAAAACAUCAGAUGUAGAAUUCUCAGCAUGUGUAUAUCCACAACUGCAGAUUUUGUGCCUCAUACAUAUUUCUUGAAAAAAAAAAAAAAAAAGAAGAAGGCUGAAUGAAGGAAUAUGCUUUUUCAAAAUCACUCCAAGGCCACAUAUUUGUUUAAUCUUAGUACACUUCUCCCAUGCAGGAAAGUACUCUCAAGAAAAGUGAACAAGGAUUUGAGAAUGUGUUUAGAAAAACACAAAUGUACUAAAUAGAUCACUGGUUCACUAGCUCUUAUCUAAUGAACUAAACAGAAAGCAUAGAUUUUAAUAUAUGAAAUUGUCAUGCUGCCUCAUAAUGGCUCCCCUGUUAAAUGUGAAGCAUUUUCUUCAUAGAUCCAGUUUCCAGUCUUGUAAUUCUCACAUGUUUCAACUGAGCAAAGUUCUGAAAUACAUAAGAAGUCUACUUUGUCACCUGGAGGUUGUGAAGAAGCAACCUCUGAAUAUUGAUCAUAAUAUUUCCAAAGCAAAAACUGGGAUCAUUGAAAAUGUUCCUGAGAGAAAGUGCAACUGCUGAGGGUCUUAGCAUGGUAACCUAUGUGCCAGCAGCACCUGUUUUGGUUUGUUAGGAAUCUGCAAAGCAAACAUAUGUAAGUUCCCCACUAUUUAACAGAGAAUGUUCAAAGAUAAUCCAAUUACUGUGUCAUAUUUCUGUAAAAACAUAGAUUUAUGAGAAACUAUAUUUAGAGCUGUUCAGAAACUGAAACCAAGACUUGAUUCUUUCAUUUCUCUGAUGUAUAGCACUUCCAAUAUCACACUAAUACAUUUGAUGGAUGUGCUAUUAAUUAUUGGAGAAGGAAAAAAAAUAUAUAUUUGAAAUCAGAAUAGUAGGGGAAUUCAUAACCAUUAAAUAAUUAAAAAAAAAAAGUGUACUUGUUAAGAAGGUAAAUACUAAAUAUGAAGUAAAAUUAUUAUCCCACAACUAACUGGGAAAGCAGUGAGAGGAAGCAAGGAGCACAAUGUCUGGAAGAAUAAAUUUCACUAAUUAGUCA
This 1543-nucleotide long non-coding RNA is filed under the name Anas platyrhynchos platyrhynchos (common mallard). Its description in RNAcentral is "lncRNA (ENSAPLG00000024521.1)". Lineage: Eukaryota; Metazoa; Chordata; Aves; Anseriformes; Anatidae. The record is from RNAcentral.